Capra hircus (goat) is the source of this 3727-nucleotide long non-coding RNA. The record is from Ensembl. NCBI's taxonomy places the organism in Eukaryota, Metazoa, Chordata, Mammalia, Artiodactyla, Bovidae.
GGGAGGGCCGCGGGAUCGCCAUGCUCAACCUUCUGAAGACCCUGAGCCAGAGCAUCGCCCCCUCCAUGGCUGACAUGUGGGAGCUGGAGAUCCCGCUGCUGGUGAAGUACCUGGAAGGUGAGAUGUCCCGGGUAUGUGUGCAAGCCAUCUGCUAAGUGCACAUGCCAGGUACUAGAUGUGUGGCAUGAGCAAAGGAGCCUGUGGUGCUUGUGUGAUCCCUACUGUACAUGCUGUGUACUAACCACCUGGUCUGAGCAAAGGAGCCUGGGGCGUGUGAGCCACCCUCCAUCUGUGUACCUGCCGUGUACAAGUCACGUGGCCUGAGCCAGGGCGCCCAGGCUCCCGGUGGCCAGCACAGCCUACUCUGGUCCUUGGAGGGUGGGGAGGGAAGUGCGGCGUGUGGGGAGCCCGUCCACGGAGGACCCCAGCUGCUGCAUUUGGGAGGCGGCAUGGAGGAGCGGCAGGAGGCAGGAGCGCGGGCGGCCUGCAGAACACACUGAGUUUACGUGGAACCAGGAGACGUGGGAGGACAAGCUGAUUCAGUUUCUGAGAAACUCCCUCAAGAAGACUCGGGGUUCCAACUGGAGCCUGCGUCUGAGCAAAGAGCUGAACAACCAGAUCGAGAGCUUCGACAGCCCCUCCCUGGAGAAGGGCUUUCUGUACCGGGCCUUGGGCUUCACCCUGGCCACGGGCCUGGAGGCCGACAAGGUGGAAGUGCUGCUGCUGGAGCUGCUGUACAAGACGGACUACAGCAACGACUUCGACCGGGAGGUGCGGGUGCCCCGCGGUCCCCUCCGGGCCUUGGGAGGACGCGGUGUGCGCGUGCCUGUGCGUGUGCGCGUGCCUGUGCGUGUGCGCGUGCCUGUGCGUGUGCGCGUGCCUGUGCGUCUCUCCGUGUGUGGGGGAGGGGGGGCGCAGCGCACGGGGUGCCCUCAGCCUGCCCGCUGGGUCCUCCCGCAGGGCGUGAUCCUGUGCUUUGGCCUGUGUGCCCGGGGCCAGGUGAAGACGGUGCUGGGCGUGCUCCAUGACUUUGAAGAGAGGAUCCAGGAGUCGGAGCAGUCCUGGCAGAUUGGCGCCUGGCGGAAGGACCAUCCCUGGAGGCGGGAGACGGUGAAGGGCGCGCUCAUGGUGAUGUACAGCUGCGUGGCCUCCUACUGCCACCCGCAGAUGCUUCUCAUCCACGUGGACAACCCCAUCACCACCAAGAUCAUCCACCACUACUCCAGCAGCUGCCAGACUCAGAAGAAGCCUGCCAUUCUCUACAACUUCUUGCUAGAAACAAUGACCUAUGUUAAAAGCAACUUGUCAAGGAUCAGAAUCGCUGCAUGUAACUUGGCAGGUGAGCAGGCAGGUCUCCUGAUGCAGGAGAGACCUUGAAGACCAUCUGGUCAGACCCAGGUCUGGAGUGGGGACAGGUGUUGGGAGUCAGGCUCGGGCAGAAGUUCCCCGUGUGUGUCCCAUGGUGCUUCAUACCUGCCCAAUGCUGAAGUAGACGUCCUGAACUAAAUCCUUAACAGAAACUCUCAUCAGGAGAAACCAAAUCUCUCGCUGACCUAACAUUCAUGUGAUGGGCAUUUCUGACUGUCAUUUUAGGAAUCAUUAUGAAGCAGAUGUCUGCGCAUUACUUGAGAAAGCUGGAUUUUCCAGCAUUACGGAAUUGUAAGUAGUGGAGAUUCAAGUGUGAGUCAAAAUGAGUCCACCCUGCUCAUUUGGGACCUUAGUGAAACCGCUGGAGGGGAGAGUCAGCUGACCCUGGUUAUAUUUGGGGUGGGGGACAGGGGUGGCCAGGGCACAGAGAGGUGGAUGAACCUGCGGGGAGCUUUCUAGGAAGACAGCUCUGAUAGUUCCCUGUGCUUUCUGCUUGCUCCCCAUCAUACACAUUGAUGCCUCUGGCUGGUCGACACAGCAGCUGGGGCCUGGGGGUCAUCUUCCUGUCCCUGUUGACGUGACGGAAGUCCCCAGGAAUGGGAGAUGCGUGUGGAGACACAACUGCACCUGCCAUCUUCUGAAUUUACACUCAGGGUGGGGAUGAAGUUCAAAGCCCCGUGAGCCCCUCGCCCUGCAGUCAGCUCUCAUCAGGAUGCACCACGCAGGGUGGGCGGAGGAUGAGGACCUGGCUACGGGGGUCCUCAUCCUCCUCGUCACUCUCUCAGCUCUCCAGGAGCUACAGCUGGACUCAGAUCCUGGUGUUUGGAGGGCAGCUCUGGAGACGCCUAACAUCUUGGAUACCUGCAGUCAGCAGCAGCUUUUGGCUUCACCUGAAGGAAUCUCCUAGGUGGUCUAAGUGCAAAACAUACCUUUAUCCUGGGGGCCAAACCCCACUGCACCACCGCAAACCACUUUUAAUUGUGUUUGUAAGAAAAAAUAUUUUACUUAAAUAAUCAGUGCCCCUUUCUUUCCUCCCCUUGAAAUAAACCUCCCUUGCUAUUUGGAGAGCAGAUUCCUGACUGCAAGGAGAUGACGCCCCAGAGCUGAGACAGUGAUUGUUUACCUCUUUGGGAUAAUGAGGUGAAGGGAAAUUAAGUGAAGGGAAAUUCUGGUCCUAGCGGGGAUUAGAUUCCUGUGUCCCCUGAGUGUGUGUGUGUGUGAGUGUGUGUGUGUGUGUGUGUGUGUGUGUGAGGCCAGAGGAUCUGGGGUUCCCGUUGUGUCUUCACUGCAUUUCAGUUCCUCCCAAGUGGAUGGUGUGUGUCCACUGCCAGGCUCUGUGCUGGGGCCCCAGGGGGGCCCAGCUACUGUCCAGCCCUGCUUCCAGGAGCCCUGCCCUUAAAGGGAAAGGAGACAUCUCCCAGCACCCAUGUCGCACCCAGGAUGAGGGAGGGCGGCCACCGAUGGGGGCAGUGCUGGUGCCCGUCUGCAGGGUGUAACUCAGGGGGCUUCAGGGAGGAAGUGACACCACACCGUCCACCCUCGUCUCUUUCAUAUCAGGGUCCACUGGGCCAGGAUGGGAAGGGACCCAGCGAGGCCUGGAGCAGAACCCAUGAAGGGCCAAAGGGAGGAGUUACCUUCAAGUCCAAGAAACAGGCAGGGGGAGAAGGGCAGGGAAACUCUUCCUACACUCACGCUGCCAGCGGGACAGUCUCGGGUUGUCCCCAGAGCAGAUGGAGGUGGGAUUUCCAAACCAGUCCCACUGUAACAGCCCAAGGCAGUCACCACCCUGGGCCCAUGGGUGGGAGGAUUGCAAAACAGUCCAGAAAACCAACCUGCACUGGAGGCUUCCCAGGAGACUGGUCUCACACUCUUGGUGGUGCCCACGGAACAGACAGUGGAGUUACUUCCUGCUGAGUGAUGAAGAUGGUGGCUGCUGGAAGACUCAAGUCCCAGUGACGCAGCCAGAAAGGAUGUGCCCUUCACUCUAGGCCCGGGGGAAGCCGUACGAUUGCAGAGUCAGGUCUCUGAUCAAUUCUGUUCAUGCCUGUGCAAAACAUCUCCAGAUGGUUUAUAGACCUGAACUCAGAAAGCAAAAAUUUAAGACAAUAUAGUCAUUUUGAUCCUGAGACUAGGGUAGGAUGUCCUUUAAGAGUAAUGAAUGAAACAAGUUAAAAAUAAAGGAUUAACUUUUGUAAGUUACAGUAUAUCUUCUGGGACUUUGCUGGUGGUCCAGUGAUUAAAAUUCCAUGCUUCCACUGCAGGGAGCUUAGGUUCUGUCCCUGGUUGGGGAACUAAGAGCCUUAUGCCAUGCAGUGCAAUUAAAAAAAAAGAAAAUUUCUUGAAUAAAAAUGAAAAUACA